This 27-nucleotide small RNA is filed under the name Arabidopsis thaliana (thale cress). RNAcentral's name for it is "ATSL014100". Lineage: Eukaryota; Viridiplantae; Streptophyta; Magnoliopsida; Brassicales; Brassicaceae. The record is from RNAcentral.
ACUCUAGCUGAUCAAUCAUCCGUAACU